Small nucleolar RNA from Manduca sexta (tobacco hornworm), 70 nucleotides. The record is from RefSeq and is a predicted model, not a curated record. Lineage: Eukaryota; Metazoa; Arthropoda; Insecta; Lepidoptera; Sphingidae.
UUUAAAUGAUGACCUAAUUCAGUUCUGCUUCUGAAUGUCGAUUGAAGAAGACUACCCACAUUUCUGAGUU